CUUUUACCUGAAACAUUUUUCGUAUACUUGGCAAUGUUUUUAGUUAUUCUACGGUCUAAGUUAAAAUGUGUGUGUGUGUGUAUACACAAGCAUACAUACAUACAGUUGACAUGGACCAAACUGUAGUCUUUUAGCCUGGAAAUGUCUUGUAAAGAGAAUCCUGCCGUUUCUGCCUACUAGCGAAAUCGUCAAAAUAUGAAACUUCAAACAUCGAUAUCUCAACGAAAAUAAAAGAUUUUUCAAAUUUGAAAGAAAAGUUUUGAAGGGUUAAGAUAUCUCGGGAACCUGACGUGAUGGACAAAAUCUACCGCUGGAUUUGGAUUCAGCGACUUAAAAACCUUCGGGACUACCUAGUCACGGUUCUAGAUCAAUUCACUAUUCGUACACUCGCUUCGCUCGGGCGUAAACGCCACACAAGACAAGAAUCUAUUUUCCCGCACUCGUAUCGUAAUAUACUAUUUUGAGCAAAUUCAAGUUGAUGGACGGAAUAUUUUUUUAUGAUCCAGGGCUCUAACGAAGAUGUAACUCGAAACCUUGUCUAAACCAUCACAGAAAGAGUGAUAUAACGGACUCAGAGGAGAAACUGUUCCUAUAUGAUAUCAAGGGCUUUUAACAUAUUUGCUGUUAAAUUCAGGAUGCUGUGGAGUUAGUUACAGGUUGAUUUGAAUUUUUGCGUUAAAGUAUUAAGUAACGAAUAGAGAAUCGUUAUGUACUUACACUACUGAUCAGUUAUCUAUCUUAACUGAGUUGAUUACUCAAGCGUAUAGCAACACCUUAUUCAGGUUACCCUGAUAGAUAUUUACAAAAAAAAAAAGCGAUACUUCUCAUAGAAAUCAUGAACAAAUUUUUUUUCACAAUUAUAUUCAAUUUGUAAGAAUUCAAAAGAUGGGCUUUCAAUGCUUGAUGGGUGAUCCAAAAAAUGUAAUUAGCAUUUUUUUACAAUAACACUUAUGCAAUAAGAAUAAAUUUUUGUUCACAUAUUGUAUCCUAAUCGGCACUGCUUUAGGUUCAGUAAAUUUAUGAAAAAUAUGAUUGAAUAAGUUUGAAAACGAAGUUCCCAUGACAAAAAAAAUAUGUUUCGCUUUUACGUUUUUUGAUUUUGCAUCCAAGUCGUUCUUUUAAAUGAAUUUUUUGUAUUCUUUUUUCACCAAUAUUUUUGACAAAACAUUUUUCGAUAGCGUUAAUAUGGAUUCUAUUUACAAAUUUAUUAUUCAAAUUAAA
Phymastichus coffea is the source of this 1221-nucleotide long non-coding RNA. RefSeq lists it as uncharacterized. The transcript is spliced from 4 exons. The record is from RefSeq and is a predicted model, not a curated record. NCBI's taxonomy places the organism in Eukaryota, Metazoa, Arthropoda, Insecta, Hymenoptera, Eulophidae.